Molecule: small nucleolar RNA, 84 nt
Filed under: Carlito syrichta (Philippine tarsier)
Lineage: Eukaryota; Metazoa; Chordata; Mammalia; Primates; Tarsiidae
Description: Small nucleolar RNA MBII-202 (ENSTSYG00000021956.2)
Rfam family: Small nucleolar RNA MBII-202 (bases 1-70)
About the family: MBII-202 is a member of the C/D class of snoRNA which contain the C (UGAUGA) and D (CUGA) box motifs. Most of the members of the box C/D family function in directing site-specific 2'-O-methylation of substrate RNAs.
Source: Rfam by way of RNAcentral
UAAUGACAUUUUCUGAAAUCACUGUACUGCUUUGAUGAAAGUACAUUGGAACCCUUUUCCAUCUGGCAAAAAGAGGGAGACAAA